CACCCUGCGGGAGGCAGCAGUGGGGAAUUUUGGACAAUGGGCGAAAGCCUGAUCCAGCAAUGCCGCGUGAGUGAAGAAGGCCUUCGGGUUGUAAAGCUCUUUUGUCAGGGAAGAAACGGUGAAAGCUAAUAUCUUUUGCUAAUGACGGUACCUGAAGAAUAAGCACCGGCUAACUACGUGCCAGCAGCCGCGGUAAUACGUAGGGUGCAAGCGUUAAUCGGAAUUACUGGGCGUAAAGCGUGCGCAGGCGGUUUUGUAAGUCUGAUGUGAAAUCCCCGGGCUCAACCUGGGAAUUGCAUUGGAGACUGCAAGGCUAGAAUCUGGCAGAGGGGGGUAGAAUUCCACGUGUAGCAGUGAAAUGCGUAGAUAUGUGGAGGAACACCGAUGGCGAAGGCAGCCCCCUGGGUCAAGAUUGACGCUCAUGCACGAAAGCGUGGGGAGCAAACAGGAUUAGAUACCCCGGUAGUCCCAU
RNAcentral lists this ribosomal RNA (472 nucleotides) under uncultured organism. RNAcentral's name for it is "partial 16S ribosomal RNA". It matches the Rfam family "Bacterial small subunit ribosomal RNA", at positions 334 to 798 of the family's 1533-position model. The record is from RNAcentral.